This 73-nucleotide transfer RNA is filed under the name Nesterenkonia sp. Its description in RNAcentral is "tRNA-Ala". It matches the Rfam family "tRNA". Rfam says of the family: Transfer RNA (tRNA) molecules are approximately 80 nucleotides in length. Their secondary structure includes four short double-helical elements and three loops (D, anti-codon, and T loops). Lineage: Bacteria; Bacillati; Actinomycetota; Actinomycetes; Micrococcales; Micrococcaceae. RNAcentral also lists the same sequence under 1 other name. The record is from RNAcentral.
GGGGCUAUAGCUCAGUUGGUAGAGCGUCUCGUUCGCAUCGAGAAGGUCUGCGGUUCGAUUCCGCAUAGCUCCA